CACGUAGGGGCAAGCGUUGUCCGGAUUUAUUGGGCGUAAAGAGCUCGUAGGCUGUUCGAUAAGUCGGGUGUGAAACCUCCAGGCUCAACCUGGAGACGCCACCCGAUACUGUCAUGACUAGAGUCCGGUAGGGAGCGUGGAAUUCCUGGUGUAGCGGUGAAAUGCGCAGAUAUCGGGAAGAACACCGGUGGCGAAAGCGGCUCACUGGACCACACUGACGCUGAGGCGCGAAGCUAGGGAGCAACAGG
Molecule: ribosomal RNA, 248 nt
Filed under: uncultured bacterium
Lineage: Bacteria
Description: partial 16S ribosomal RNA
Rfam family: Bacterial small subunit ribosomal RNA
Source: RNAcentral